Molecule: long non-coding RNA, 1495 nt
Filed under: Homo sapiens (human)
Lineage: Eukaryota; Metazoa; Chordata; Mammalia; Primates; Hominidae
Description: HSALNT0386472
Source: RNAcentral
UAGGAACAGCUCCGGUCUACAGCUCCCAGCGUGAGCGACGCAGAAGACGGGUGAUUUCUGCAUUUCCAUCUGAGAAGCACUGAGUGGUUCCCUGAUUCAGUGGAAGCCAGACAUCCUAUCUAAACCUCUAGAACACCAGGGUCCCGGCUGCUGAGAACUCCAGGCACACGAGGCUGCUUGGGAAAGACUGGAGAAGUGCCAGGAGGAUUAAUUACAGCAGUUAAUGUUUCCAUUUGAAAGGAGAUGAUACUCUGAUCGAAUUAUACUCUGCUCCUUGCCCCAUCUAAUAUUUAUUUGCACAUUAAAGAUAACACGACUGGCUAGAAUUGGCUUCUGAAUAUGUGUGCUCCUUAUCAAGGCCACAGUUUACAGCUUUGCUAGGGAGAGCUAUGGUAAUGAACUACUUGAUCUUUUUUUUUUUUUUUUUUUGAGACGGAGCCUCGCUCUGUCGUCCAGGCUGGAGUGCAGUGGCGCGAUCUCGGCUCACUGCAACCUCCACCUCCCAGGUUCAAGCAGUUCUCCUACCUCAGCCUCCUGCGUAGCUGGGACUACUACAGGCGUGCGCCACCAUGCCCAGCUAAUUUUUGUAUUUUUAGUACAGACAGGAUUUCACCAUGUUGGCCAGGACGGUCCCAAUCUCUUGACCUCGUGAUCGGCCCUCCUCGGCCUCCCAAAGUUCUGGGAUUACAGGCGUGAGCCACUGCGCCCAGCCGGACUAUUUUAUCUUAAAGAGAGACUUGGAAGAGAGGCUGCUGGAAUCCCUAAAGUCUACCUGGAUCUGAUGUAAUCAUGUCUGGCUGACUCAACAGCAGCGGCUUGGAAAUAAAAUGCAAUACGGAACACCUGGAGAGAUGCCUCCUUCUCUUUGUCUAUCUUUCAAGCAUCCCAGACUCAACUUUUAAGAUGUCUCAGAUCUCAGGACAAGAGAAACACUUGCGUAAUGAUAAUCAUAAAAACAGUAAUAGCAGCAAUGCUAAUAAUAAGAAAAUGUAGGAAGAUGUGGGAAUUAGAAAUGAGCAUAUUAAUCUUGUAGCAUUUUGAAUGCACAUAGAACUCAAUCAAGUUGAACUUGACACAGAAAAAUAUACAGUAAUUUCGUGAGAAUGCAAGAUUGCUUUCCAACAAUUGUCACAAUCCACAAGAAAAAUAAACAGGUAAGGCAAAUUGCAUUCAUCUUUUGUUCUCAUUUUAUUCAUGUGCAGACUUAAAAGACAGUUUCAGUUGUAUGGUGAAAUUUCCGGAGAUAUGACCUAGAAAUGUGGCUAAUACCUUUUUUCCUCUUCUUUUAUUGGAAAGUUAAGAUUUCUUCAAAGAGUAUCUUCGUAUAGAUCUUCUUUGACCCAAAAUGAUUUGAAUUAUAAUAAUGAAAAACAAUAAGUAAAACAAAGCGUCAUAUUCUCCCUUGAAAUACUCUCUUUUUCUUGAUUUGCAGAAUAUAUCACUCUCCUGUUCUUUUUGUUUUGUUUUGUUUGAAACAGAGUUUCACUCUUCACUC